RNAcentral lists this ribosomal RNA (213 nucleotides) under uncultured bacterium. Its description in RNAcentral is "partial 16S ribosomal RNA". It matches the Rfam family "Bacterial small subunit ribosomal RNA", at positions 524 to 734 of the family's 1533-position model. The record is from RNAcentral.
UACGUAGGAGGCAAGCGUUGUCCGGAAUUACUGGGCGUAAAGCGCGUGUAGGUGGUGGGACAAGUCUGCUGUGAAAGCGCCUGGCUUAACCGGGCGAGGUCGGCGGAAACUGUCCGACUCGGAGGACGGUAGAGGGGGGUGGAAUUCCCGGUGUAGUGGUGAAAUGCGUAGAGAGCGGGAGGAACACCAGUGGCGGAAGGCGGCCUUCUGGAC